Molecule: ribosomal RNA, 449 nt
Filed under: uncultured bacterium
Lineage: Bacteria
Description: bacterial SSU rRNA
Rfam family: Bacterial small subunit ribosomal RNA
Source: RNAcentral
CCCAGACUCCUACGGGAGGCAGCAGUGGGGAAUAUUGCACAAUGGGGGGAACCCUGAUGCAGCGACGCCGCGUGGGCGAGGAAGUAUUUCGGUGUGUAAAGCCCUAUCGGCAGGGAAGAAGAAAUGACGGUACCUGAAUAAGAAGCACCGGCUAAAUACGUGCCAGCAGCCGCGGUCAUACGUAGGAUCCGAGCAUUAUCCGGAGUGACUGGGUGUAAAGAGUUGCGUAGGUGGCAUAAUAAGUAGCUAGUGAAAUCUGGUGGCUCAACCAUUCAGACUAUUAGCUAAACUGUUAAGCUCGAGACCGUUAGGGGUAACUGGAAUUUCUAGUGUAGGAGUGAAAUCCGUAGAUAUUAGAAGGAACACCAAUAGCGUAGGCAGGUUGCUGGGACGGUUCUGACGCUAAGGCACGAAAGCGUAGGGAGCAAACGGGAUUAGAUACCCCUGUA